UUUAACAUCUUGUUUGGAGGUUACCAGAAGCUCUGAGUGACAAGUCAGAAUAUAUUGCAUCAUAUUUUCUGAUGUUAUCCAGAAACCUGUAAGAGUCCCUUUCCUGUUUUAAUGCCUUCCUUUUAUUACCUGACUAUCAGGGAAGCGUGGUUGAGGCUGCCCUGACCUGACAUGUCAUGAUGUCGACUUGCUAGGUGGGGUUCGCAGGGGACAUUAACCAUUGGAGUUGUCGAUUCCCAGAACAGUGUACGAAGUGUAUGGAAAGCAGCUGAAACCAGGAUAAGAUCUAAAGAACAAUGCAAGAAGAGCUAGGGAACACAUUUUUAGCUGUCUAGAGGUAGCAUGGUCUGGAGCAAUGAACGCUGGUUGGAAUUAAGGACUUGAUCUGCCACUGACUUGCUCUGUGGCCUUUGACAAGUCACUUCACUUCUUUGCCUCAGUUUCACCAUCUGUAGAAUGGGAAUAGUGCAUAUUCACCUAUCUCACGUGGAACAUGGAAAGCACUGUAUAGGUACCAAUUUUUUUCUCCAGGCAGCUUGCGUACAUGUUCAAAUUAAGUAUCACUGCCUGCUUUGUGGUGAGAGAAUGCAGCUUUCUAUCACGGAUAGGUGGUUAAGGACAGGUAAUUAAGUGCAUUGAAGUUUUUAAGGUAGUGUUUGCUGUGAAGCCUAAUGAAAAGUGACUGUGGCAAGUAUGGCAAGAUUCUUUAUACAAGUUUUGCACAGACUUCUCAUUUAUAGGGGACUUCAGUUUAAAUUCCUGAAUUGCUACCCUCAUACCAAUGAAAGUGAUUGGUCUUGUUGAUACCCUGACUAGAUAAAUAUUUGUUUAGAAGCUGAAAUGUUUAAUGAGAAAUAAUGAACCAUAAGAGUUUGAGAGCAGGAAAAUGAGAUCAUUGGCACAAUCCCAAAUUUCCUUUUAUUAGAUCUUGUAUUUUUAUUUACUGUUCUAAAUCAGUCAUAAGAAUUCAGACUAGAAAGGAAGAGAUUCAGGAGAACAUUGUGGAUACAUUAAUGGUGCAGGUUAAACAGAGUUGCUACAAGAAUUCUCAAAUUAAGCAUUAACUGCUACAACAAUGCAUUCAAUCUAUAUUUUGGAAGAAAAAGGCCGCCUUUUGUCUUGGAAUACAUUGGCACUAUUAAAAAGGGACAAAUGACAGCUAGAAAAAUGAUGCAACAAUAGCAUUGUUUAGACUGCUGUCCUCUUCAAGGAGUUCCUGUACCUGCUGAUCAGACAGCAUGGGAUCCAAGAAAUGAACUACAUGUGUAUCAAAAUAUCAGGUGGGUGUUGUAAGUGUAUUUACAGUGUUCUCUGUUGUAGUUUGCAGUGUAUUGAAAACUAUGCAUAUGUAUUGUAUGUUUUUAUUGGUCCUUUUUUGUAAUGGCCAGUUUCCUCUAAUAAACAUCUAUCUAAAGUCAGUAUUUUGUGGCUGUUUUCCAAAGGUCUGGGUGUUUUUCAAGUCACCUGAUCUCCAUGCAGCACCCUUUCCCUGCUAAACCAAGAGGAGAAGAGGAAUCCUCUGUCAUAACCAUUCAUAACCAAUCUGUAUACGAGCUCUCAGCUUUCAACUAAAAUAUUUUCCACCCUAGUUUUCAAAAUACAUGUAGCUCAUUUAGAUGUUCUGAAGAUGUUGUAUUGGCUCAACUCAACUGUGGAAAAUAUCAAUAAAAUUAAACUUUAUCCAGUG
Molecule: long non-coding RNA, 1687 nt
Organism: Malaclemys terrapin pileata
Lineage: Eukaryota; Metazoa; Chordata; Testudines; Emydidae
Exons: 2
Source: RefSeq, a predicted model, not a curated record